This 4400-nucleotide long non-coding RNA is filed under the name Brassica napus (rape). RNAcentral's name for it is "long non-coding RNA (BNAP_LNC019817)". The record is from RNAcentral. Lineage: Eukaryota; Viridiplantae; Streptophyta; Magnoliopsida; Brassicales; Brassicaceae.
ACGAUUGAGUUAGUAGGAUUCUACAUUUGUCAAACGUUGGCUUCUACAGUAUAACAAACCUUUAUAUUAAAUAAUUCUAUGUGUAGGCAAAAUUUUAAUAUAAAUAAUUAGUAGGAGAUAUUUAAGAUGAUAAUUUCACUACAGGAAAUGUAUGUAUUAAUAGCAUAGUAGUAUAGUGUUUUUAACAUUUAUGCUAUUGUAUACCAACACUGACCUUUAUAAUAGCGCUUAUAAAAUUUAAACGCUAUGUUUGUUAUCGCGGGAAAAUAAAAAAAUUAGCCGCGUUAAUUUGCAAAGUGUAAACGCCUAACCAUUGCAGAUCCAAAAUUAACUACUAUUGUAAAUUGACACAACACAUAAUUUAUUUUUCCCGCCAGAUACUUAGUGAAAAAACAAGUGUCUAAUCUUUUUUUAUUUUCCUUCUCAUCCUCGUUUUUCACUUCCCUCUUAUUCCAUUUCGUUUCUCAACCCUCCAAAAAAAAACUAAACACAAGAUAAACCCUAAAUCUUAGACCAUAAACUUAAAACACAACCCUAAAACUCAAAAAUUUUCUUAUUUUAAUUAUAAAUCUUAAGUUUAAAUAUAUUCAAGUUUUAACCUUUUAAAUUUUUAAUUUCAAACAUUAAUCUAAGCCUCAAACACUAAAUUAUACACUUAUAUAUAUCAUACCCUAAAUUAAUCACAUCCCCUAAACUCUAACUAAAAUUCUUAAAAUUCUAUUUUUUUAUUAAUUUAAAAAAAUUAAUUUUAAUUUCAAAUCUCAAAUCCAAUUCUCUAACCCUAAACUUAAAUAUAUACCAUAACAAAAAUCAUAUACCCUAAAUCAUAUUACAUAUACUCUAAACUUAUAUUUUAAAACUAAAUUUUAAAUACAAAAUAAAUGUAAUCAAUAAUUUGAAUAUAAUUUAUUUUUUAUAUAAAUAAAAUUAUUUAAACAAUAAAUUAUAAUUUCUAAAAUAAUUAUUAAUAAAAAUAGUUUUGGAUUGAUUAAUUUUCGACCACUGAUUGGUUUUAUUCCAAAGGUUAGAAGUUAAUUUUAGUUAAUCCUAUUACUUUCUCUUUAUUGGUCAAUGAUUUGUGGUCAUUGAUUGUUUUUCUACAGAGAUUAAUCUUCUCCAUCUUCUCCAUCAUUCGGCCAUCUUUUCUCAAUCUUCUUCAUCCAUCCUUGAAUCGUUAAACCUAAAAUCACAAAGUCUUCAGAUCUGCACACAGAGCUUGAUUCUAAUCAACCUCUUACGAUUCAACAUGUCUGGAUUCAACCCUCUCUUUCUCUCUCGCUCUCCCUCUCUCUCUCUCUCUCUCUCUCUCUCUCUCUCUCUCUCUCUCUCUCUCUCUCUCUCUCUCUCUCUCUCUCUCUCUCUCUCUCUCUCUCUCUCUCUCUCUCUCUCUCUCUCUCUCUCUCUCUCUCUCUCUCUCUCUCUCUCUCUCUCUCUCUCUCUCUCUCUCUCUCUCUCUCUCUCUCUCUCUCUAUCUCUAUCUCUAUCUCUAUCUCUCUCACUCAGCUAUGAUGAAAGCUUCGGCGACAACGCUUGACUCGAGUCAGAGAUGGCGAGUGACAACAGAGCAGCGCCGGUGGCAAGACGGAAGAUGGCUGUCCUUCAUAAGCAGAGGAGGAAAAGAGGCUUCGAUGGUUCAGCUCGCCGGAGAUGAAUAAAGGGGAAGUCUCAGCCUCUCUUUCCCAUGAACCUCGCCGGUCAAGCUCUCUCAAUCUCUCUACAACUUUUGCAAGUCUUUACUUCUGAAAUUUUAGGUUCUUUUGUGACUUAAAUCCAUAUGAGCUCAUUAGUAUUCGUGGAACUAAUUGUUUGGGGGAUUUAAUCUUAAUUCUUGUAAUUAUCUUUGUUUAUUUAAUCUAGCUUUGGUACUUAGGUUGAUGGGUUUUGCGCCUGCUACUGUCACCUUGCUCGUUUUUAUAACUUGAGGAAAUUAAGGAUCUUGUUGUUGACUUGAUGAGUAGUGAUGAAGAUAGUCUAGAAAGUAACACUUGAAUAUGUUUGAGCAUUUUUACUUCAAAUACUAUUUCUCUUUUCUAUUUUGUAGCUGGGAUUAUAAGAAACAGUUUCAGGGUUUGUCCUUUUUGAAUCUAAAUAAGUGGCAUGGUUUUGUAGAGUUUGAUGAUGUUAUUGGAAAGGUGCUGAGUGACAAGACUGUUGGCAAAGGUGACGAUGCUUUCAACACCUUCUUCAGCGAAACCGGUGCAGGGAAGCAUGUCCCUCAUGUUGUCUUUGUCGACCUUGAGCCCACCAUGAUCGACGAUGUUAGAACCCGUACUUACCGUCAGCUUUUCCACCUUGAACAGCUCAUCAGUGGUAAAGAAGACGCAGAUAACAUUACAGCAGUACGGUGAGAAAAAGUGAUGUUUUGGCCCUAUCUAUUGAUACAUCUUUUGAAGAAGAAAAACUAAUGCAUUUAUAUCUUAAAUGGUUUCUCAGCUGUUUACAUGGGGUUGGAAUCAAAGAGGUACAUUAGGACAUCCACCAAAGACGAAAACAGAAAGCCAAUGUCAAGAUUACACAGGUUAAGUUUGGAUUGUUCUUUUAAGAUGUAUUCUCAGGUUUGAAUAUUGAAUUACUUGUUCUGUUAUGAGACUUGCAUUUGAUUCUUAACGUAGAGAAAGGAAGCAAUGAGGAUUCUAGUCGGAGGAGAGAACUAGAAGGAGAGUCGGAGUAGACUCGUUGGUGUGAGUCCGAGAGAGAGACUUCAAGAGGCAGAGAGUUUUGAUUUUUUUUUUCUAAGUGUUUAGGCUUGUUAGUGCUUUGUGGGAUGUUUUGUGCUUUAAUGAUAAAUUUUGGCUAAAAAUGAAUUGGAGCCAAAACCCCAAAAUAUUAUUGGAGCCAAAUCUUUUUUUUUUAUUUAUCAAAUUGGAGCCAAAUCUUAUGGAGGGAAAUAUAACUGGAACAAAAUAUUAUCCUCUUGUAAUCCCUAAAACUAUAGAUUUUCAUAUUUUAAAGUGUAACCCCUGAAACUAUAACCCUGAAGAUAGUCAUCCUUGUCCUUCUUGUUAGACCAAUGAUAAUAUUCCUUCAUUUUUCAAUCAUUAAUUAAUUGUACCUUUUUUUAAUCAAUUUUUACAUGUAUUAUAAUUAUAUUAUAGUUUGAGUUUAAGUUUAAAAUUUAAAUAUAAGUUUAAUGAUCAGAUUUAUAGCUUGGAGAAUAAAAAUAGAGAUUUAGGGUAUAUGGUAUGGAAUAUAGGGUUUGGGUUUAAGAAUGAGAUAUAUAUAUAUAUCAUUUUAUUUUAACUUUGUCUAUCUAGAUUUAGAAUAGAAUAUAGGGUUUGAGUUUAAGAACUUAAUUAUGUUGAAUUAGGGAUUUUAAUCUCGGAUAUUAAAUCUAAACCUCAUACCCUAAACUAUACACAUAUAUAUAUCAUAACUCUAAAUUAAUCACACUCUAAUAUAACUUCAAUUUUAAACUUAAAAUCAAAAUUCAAUCAUAUUGUUUAUUGCAAAAUAGUUUUAUAUAAUUUAUAUGUUUGAGUGUAAACUAAAGAAUAUAUAUGUAUAGUAGCUUAGGGGUUUAUACAUUACACCUCAAACCCUAACAUUACACUUCAAACCGUAAACUCUACAUCCAAAUCUAAAUACAAACUGUCAUAUUAUUAUUUUCAAACAAUAAUCUCAAAUCUUAUCAUAACUCUAAAUAUCAUAUGUUUAAAUUCAUAAACUAAACUUCAAAUCUAAUAUUCUAUUCUUAGCUCUUAAAUCUUAAAACUAGCUUUACACUCAAAUUUAUACCCAAUUUCAAAAAUUUAAAGCUUAAAAUUUAAAUUAUAAACUACAAAAUAUAAAUUUUGAAUAAAACAUUAAUUUUAAAAAUGUAAAUACAAAAAAAAAUAUCAAAUAAUGAAAUACAAGACACAAAAAAAUAAAAAAAGAAAGACAAAGCUCUCUUGCCCAAUUAGAUCUAUAUACAAUUAUUCCAAAGGUUAGAAGUUAAUCUUAGUUAAUCCUAUUACUUUCUCUUUAUUGGUCAAUGAUUUGUGGCUAUUGAUUGUUUUUCUCCUGAGAACAAUCUUCUCCAUCACUCGGCCAUCUUUUCUCAUUCUUCUCCAUCCAUCCUUGAAUCGUUAAACCUAAAAUCACAAAGUCUUCAGAUCUGCACACAGAGCUUGACUCUAAUCAACCUUUUACGAUUCAACCUGUCUGGAUUCAACCCUCUCUCUCUCUAUCUCUAUCUCUCUCACUCAGCCAUGAUGAAAGCUUCGGCGACAACGCUUGACUCGAGUCAGAGAUGGCGAGUGACAACAGAGCAGCGCCGGUGGCAAGGCGGAAGACGGAUGUCCUUCAUAAGCAGAGGAGGAGAAGAGGCUUCGAUGGUUCAGCUCGCCGGAGAUGAAUAAAGGGGAAGUCUCAGCAUCUCUUUGCCGUGAACCUCGCCGGUCAAGCUCUCUCAAUCUCUC